Molecule: non-coding RNA, 73 nt
Organism: Rhabditophanes sp. KR3021
Lineage: Eukaryota; Metazoa; Nematoda; Chromadorea; Rhabditida; Alloionematidae
Source: Rfam
GCCUCCCUAGCUCAAUUGGUAGAGCGUUAGACUUUUAAUCUAACGGUCGCGGGUUCGAGCCCCGCGGGGGGCU